GAGGAAUAUUGCACAAUGGAGGAAACUCUGAUGCAGCAACGCCGCGUGGAGGAUGACGCAUUUCGGUGUGUAAACUCCUUUUAUGAGUCAAGAAAAUGACGGUAGCUCAUGAAUAAGCACCGGCUAACUCCGUGCCAGCAGCCGCGGUAAUACGGAGGGUGCAAGCGUUACUCGGAAUCACUGGGCGUAAAGGACGCGUAGGCGGGUUGUCAAGUCAGGUGUGAAAUCCUACAGCUUAACUGUAGAACUGCACUUGAAACUGGCAACCUAGAGUAUGGGAGGGGAAGAUGGAAUUAGUGGUGUAGGGGUAAAAUCCGUAGAUAUCACUAGGAAUACCUAAAGCGAAGGCGAUCUUCUGGAACAUAACUGACGCUAAGGCGUGAAAGCGUGGGGAGCAAAC
This 400-nucleotide ribosomal RNA is filed under the name uncultured bacterium. Its description in RNAcentral is "bacterial SSU rRNA". It matches the Rfam family "Bacterial small subunit ribosomal RNA", at positions 356 to 773 of the family's 1533-position model. The record is from RNAcentral.